GAUGAAGAACCGCAGCGAAAUGCGAUACGUAAUGUGAAUUGCAGAAUUCAGUGAAUCAUCGAAUCUUUGAACGCAUAUUGCGCUCUUUGGUAUUCCGAAGAGCAUGCUUGUUUGAGUAUCAGUAAACACCUCAACCUCUUCUUGAUUUUUCAAAAGGAGGGUGGACUUGAGCUAUCCCAACAACCUUUACCGGUCGGCGGGCGGCUUGAAAUGCAGGUGCAGCUGGACUUUUAUCUGAGCUAAAAGCAUAUCUAUUUAGUCCUCGUCAAACAGGAUUAUUACUUUUGCUGCAGCUAACAUAAAGGAUAAUUGUCCUCUUUGCUGACUGAUGCAGGAUUUUACGACACUUUAUGUGUUGUUCAACUCGAUCUCAAAUCAAGUAAGACUACCCGCUGAACUUAAGCAUAUCAAUAAGCGGAGGA
This 422-nucleotide unclassified non-coding RNA is filed under the name soil metagenome. RNAcentral's name for it is "partial contains 5.8S ribosomal RNA, internal transcribed spacer 2, and large subunit ribosomal RNA". The stretch from base 1 to 121 matches the Rfam family "5.8S ribosomal RNA", at positions 35 to 154 of the family's 154-position model. The record is from RNAcentral.